This 818-nucleotide ribosomal RNA is filed under the name Saccharomyces x bayanus. Its description in RNAcentral is "eukaryotic LSU rRNA". The stretch from base 370 to 523 matches the Rfam family "5.8S ribosomal RNA". The record is from RNAcentral. Lineage: Eukaryota; Fungi; Ascomycota; Saccharomycetes; Saccharomycetales; Saccharomycetaceae.
AGGAUCAUUAAAGAAAUUUAAUAAUUUUGAUAUUGGAUUUUUUGUUUUGGCAAGAGCGUGAGAGCUUUUACUGGGCAAGAAGACAAGAGAUGGAGAGUCCAGCCGGGCCUGCGCUUAAGUGCGCGGUCUUGCUAGGCUUGCAAGUUUCUUUCUUGCUAUUCCAAACAGUGAGACUUCUCUGUUUUUGUUAUAGGACAAUUAAAACCGUUUCAAUACAACACACUGUGGAGUUUUUAUACUUUUGCAACUUUUUCUUUGGGUUUCGAGCAAUCGAGCCCAGAGGUAACAAACACAAACAAUUUUAUUUAUUCAUUAAAUUUUUGUCAAAAACAAGAAUUUUCGUAACUGGAAAUUUUAAAAAUAAUUAAAAACUUUCAACAACGGAUCUCUUGGUUCUCGCAUCGAUGAAGAACGCAGCGAAAUGCGAUACGUAAUGUGAAUUGCAGAAUUCCGUGAAUCAUCGAAUCUUUGAACGCACAUUGCGCCCCUUGGUAUUCCAGGGGGCAUGCCUGUUUGAGCGUCAUUUCCUUCUCAAACAUUCUGUUUGGUAGUGAGUGAUACUCUCUGGAGUUAACUUGAAAUUGCUGGCCUUUUCAUUGGAUGUUUUUUUUCCAAAGAGAGGUUUCUCUGCGUGCUUGAGGUAUAAUGCAAGUACGGUCGUUUUAGGUUUUACCAACUGCGGCUAAUCUUUUUUGUACUGAGCGUAUUGAAACGUUAUCGAUAAGAAGAGAGCGUCUAGGCGAACAAUGUUCUUAAAGUUUGACCUCAAAUCAGGUAGGAGUACCCCGCUGAACUUAAGCAUAUCAAUAAGCGGAGGA